RNAcentral lists this non-coding RNA (100 nucleotides) under unclassified sequences. RNAcentral's name for it is "DUF3800-V RNA". It matches the Rfam family "DUF3800-V RNA". The record is from Rfam by way of RNAcentral.
CUAACUGAGCGGUAAGACCGUUCCAGGUUGUCUUAAGUGUUCCCUUCCAUCUGGUGGGCCAUAGCUUAAGCACUACGAAUCUGGAAGGCUCGCUUUUUUA